RNAcentral lists this long non-coding RNA (1225 nucleotides) under Capra hircus (goat). RNAcentral's name for it is "lncRNA (ENSCHIG00010028698.1)". Lineage: Eukaryota; Metazoa; Chordata; Mammalia; Artiodactyla; Bovidae. The record is from RNAcentral.
UUAGCACAGUGCUUCACACAUAGGUGUUCAAAAGAUAUUCGAACAUCAUGAUUUAUGUACAGAAACAACUAGAAAACACUGUGGAAUCUGAUUUGUGGAGACCACUCUUGGUCAACUAGUGUUAAAAAGCAAUGAACACAGGUUUCUAAGACUCUGUGAUGUAAAUAAAGGAAAGCUGGGGAUCCAAUUUGAAGCUGUGUUCUGGUGUAUUGCUUUCUCAAUCAACUCCAGUCCUUGAGGUCCUAUGUCACUACCUGAACAUGAAUUUUACUUCCCGUGAGGUAGGUAGGAAUAACACUAAGUAUGCAUUAGAAAUUGGGGGGGGGCAUGGCACAUUUUUAUAAAUGGUUAUCAUGAAUUGGUUCACACACUUUGAAAUAUUUCACUUUCAUUCUUAUCUACCAAAUAUGGGAAUUAUGAGGCACAUGUUCCCUGAGGAUUUUUUUCCUUUAGAAAUAGUGUUUUUCCAGCAAAGAUUUAGUGCUGUUCUCUUAGGCGUCUAUUUUCAACAUGUUUGGGCAACCCUAUGUAUGAGUUUUCAAUUUUUAAAAAAUAAGGCUAUUAGGAAAACAUUCUUGGGACUUCCCUGUUGGUCCACUGGUUAAGACUCUGCACCCAGAAUGCAGGGAGCAUGCGCUUUAUCCCUGGUCAGGAAGAUAAGUAUACCCAAAGUGGCAUACUCCUUUAAGUAUUUAUGUAUUCUAAUUUCCAAAAAUUGCAAUUUUUCACCACAGCAAUUAUGGGGAGAACUAGUAAACUACAAUUAAGUGUUUCAUAGGUCAUUAAGAUAUAUUAUUCAAACUCUGACCUUACUUCCUUUCAGGUCACCAAUAAAGCUAUAUAUUAUUCAUUUUUAAAGAACGGGCUAUAUAUCUUUAUUUCCAACGACUGACUAGGUAUCCUUCUGCUCCUCAGUCAUAUCCUAGAACUAAAUAUUUACAAUCUCAAAAUGACUUCUGGAGAGCAGGACUCCAGGUUACCUCUAGGUAUGUGGUUAACCUCUCCUCUAACAUUUGGCUCGGUCCUCAUUUCCAUAAACAUAUUUCUUGGCAUUAGGAAGAGCAACAUUCAAGUUUUCUUAGCACUUCUAUCUCCAGAUCAAUUGGAAAAAACAUAAAACCGGCUAUGAAAUUCACUUCUCAAAGAAGGAAAACAGAAUGAUUUCUAUUAUCUUCACGAUAUUAUUUCUUCAUGUAAACCCUAUGGCCUGAAGGUGGUGGCAGAG